GCCCAAGAGAUCGGGAUAACACCUGGAAACAGAUGCUAAUACCGGAUAACAACAGAUGAUGCCUAUCAACUGUUUAAAAGAUGGUUCUGNUAUCACUCUUGGAUGGACCUGCGGUGCAUUAGCUAGUUGGUAAGGUAACGGCUUACCAAGGCGAUGAUGCAUAGCCGAGUUGAGAGACUGAUCGGCCACAUUGGGACUGAGACACGGCCCAAACUCCUACGGGAGGCAGCAGCU
This 234-nucleotide ribosomal RNA is filed under the name uncultured Lactobacillus sp. Its description in RNAcentral is "partial 16S ribosomal RNA". It matches the Rfam family "Bacterial small subunit ribosomal RNA", at positions 128 to 355 of the family's 1533-position model. Lineage: Bacteria; Bacillati; Bacillota; Bacilli; Lactobacillales; Lactobacillaceae. The record is from RNAcentral.